CCGCCCCGCGAGGGACGGCGCGCCCCGGGGCUCGUGAUAUCUUAUCUCGCCGCCCGUCGCGAGGCGGACGGAGGGAUGGAUGAAGGUUACCUGGAAAAAAUCGGGGCGAUCUAGGCGGGCGAACCUCGCCAACGAACGAUCGGACAUGGGAUAACGGAAGAGGGCGUCGGCUCGACUUCGUCGGUUCCUCGGGCCGAGGCACGUACGGUGAAUAGGGACGGUCGGGGCCGCCCGUACCGGGUCGUGAGAGGUGAAAUUCUAGGAUCGACCCGAGACGAACUGCCGCGAAAGCAUUCGGCAAGGACGCUUUCAUUAAUCAAGAACGAAAAGUCGGGGGAUCGAAGACGAUCAGAUACCGUCGUAGUCCCGACCGUAAACGAUGCCGACCGAGGGCCCGGAGGAGUUACGUACGACCCCUCCGGGCCCUCCCGCGAGAAAUCAGGAGUAUUCGGGUUCCGGGG
This 461-nucleotide ribosomal RNA is filed under the name uncultured eukaryote. RNAcentral describes it as "bacterial SSU rRNA". It matches the Rfam family "Eukaryotic small subunit ribosomal RNA", at positions 727 to 1119 of the family's 1831-position model. The record is from RNAcentral.